Molecule: transfer RNA, 77 nt
Filed under: Bacillota bacterium
Lineage: Bacteria; Bacillati; Bacillota
Description: tRNA-Arg
Rfam family: tRNA
About the family: Transfer RNA (tRNA) molecules are approximately 80 nucleotides in length. Their secondary structure includes four short double-helical elements and three loops (D, anti-codon, and T loops). Further hydrogen bonds mediate the characteristic L-shaped molecular structure. tRNAs have two regions of fundamental functional importance: the anti-codon, which is responsible for specific mRNA codon recognition, and the 3' end, to which the tRNAs corresponding amino acid is attached (by aminoacyl-tRNA synthetases). tRNAs cope with the degeneracy of the genetic code in two manners: having more than one tRNA (with a specific anti-codon) for a particular amino acid; and 'wobble' base-pairing, i.e. permitting non-standard base-pairing at the 3rd anti-codon position.
Source: RNAcentral
GCGCCUAUAGCUCAGCAGGAUAGAGCGACGGUUUCCUAAACCGCAGGCCGAUGGUUCGAAUCCAUUUAGGCGCACCA